RNAcentral lists this RNase P RNA (352 nucleotides) under Desulfovibrio sp. RNAcentral describes it as "RNase P RNA component class A". It matches the Rfam family "Bacterial RNase P class A". Rfam says of the family: Ribonuclease P (RNase P) is a ubiquitous endoribonuclease, found in archaea, bacteria and eukarya as well as chloroplasts and mitochondria. Its best characterised activity is the generation of mature 5'-ends of tRNAs by cleaving the 5'-leader elements of precursor-tRNAs. Cellular RNase Ps are ribonucleoproteins. The record is from RNAcentral. Lineage: Bacteria; Pseudomonadati; Thermodesulfobacteriota; Desulfovibrionia; Desulfovibrionales; Desulfovibrionaceae.
GGAGUCGGGCAGACCGCCGCCGCGGAAUUAUUCCGGGGAGGAAAGUCCGGGCUCCACAGGGCAGGACGCCGGGUAACACCCGGGAGGGGCGACCCUCGGACAGCGCCACAGAAAGCAGACCGCCGGCGGCGCUUGCGCCGCAGGCAAGGGUGAAACGGUGGGGCAAGAGCCCACCAGGCGCCUGGGCAACCAGGCGUGCUCGGCAUACCCCGUCCGGAGCAAGACCAAAUAGGAAAGGCGGCCGGCCCGGCCAUGCGCCUUUCGGGUAGGUUGCUUGAGGGCGCGGGCAACUGCGCUCCUAGAGGAAUGGCGGUCCCAACGACAGAACCCGGCUUACCGCCCGGCUCCCUCG